UUAAGUGACUAAGCGUACAAGGUGGAUGCCUUGGCAAUCAGAGGCGAUGAAGGACGUGCUAAUCUGCGAAAAGCUUGGAUGAGUCGAUAAGAGGCGUUUAAUCCAAGAUGUCCGAAUGGGGAAACCCAGUAGAUGAAGAAUCUACUAUCACUUACUGAAUCCAUAGGUAAGUGAGGCAAACCGGGAGAACUGAAACAUCUAAGUACCCCGAGGAAAAGAAAUCAACCGAGAUUUCGUUAGUAGCGGCGAGCGAACGCGAAGGAGCCUGUUAGUGAUAAUGACAGAGACAGAGGAACAAGCUGGGAAGCUUGGCGAUACAGGGUGAUAGCCCCGUACUCGAAGUCCAGGUCAUGGUACUAAGCUAACGAUAAGUAGGGCGGGACACGUGAUAUCCUGUUUGAAGAUGGGGGGACCAUCCUCCAAGGCUAAAUACUCCUGAUUGACCGAUAGUGAACCAGUACUGUGAAGGAAAGGCGAAAAGAACCCCGGUGAGGGGAGUGAAAUAGAACCUGAAACCUUGUACGUACAAGCAGUGGGAGCCCUUUAAGGGUGACUGCGUACCUUUUGUAUAAUGGGUCAGCGACUUAUAUUUUGUAGCGAGGUUAACCGAAUAGGGGAGCCGAAGGGAAACCGAGUCUUAACUGGGCGUCUAGUUGCAAGGUAUAGACCCGAAACCCGGUGAUCUAGCCAUGGGCAGGUUGAAGGUUGGGUAACACUAACUGGAGGACCGAACCGACUAAUGUUGAAAAAUUAGCGGAUGACUUGUGGCUGGGGGUGAAAGGCCAAUCAAACCGGGAGAUAGCUGGUUCUCCCCGAAAUCUAUUUAGGUAGAGCCUUGAGCGGACACCUUCGGGGGUAGAGCACUGUUUCGGCUAGGGGUCCAUCCCGGAUUACCAACCCGAUGCAAACUACGAAUACCGAAGAGUGAUACUCAGGAGACACACGGCGGGUGCUAACGUCCGUCGUGGAGAGGGAAACAACCCAGACCGCCAGCUAAGGUCCCAAAGUCUAUAUUAAGUGGGAAACGAAGUGGGAAGGCUUAGACAGCUAGGAUGUUGGCUUAGAAGCAGCCAUCAUUUAAAGAAAGCGUAAUAGCUCACUAGUCGAGUCGGCCUGCGCGGAAGAUGUAACGGGGCUCAAAUAUAGCACCGAAGCUGCGGCAUCAGACGAAAGUCUGUUGGGUAGGGGAGCGUUCUGUAAGCGGAUGAAGGUGGUUCGAGAGGGCUGCUGGACGUAUCAGAAGUGCGAAUGCUGACAUAAGUAACGAUAAAACGGGUGAAAAACCCGUUCGCCGGAAGACCAAGGGUUCCUGUCCAACGUUAAUCGGGGCAGGGUGAGUCGGCCCCUAAGGCGAGGCUGAAAAGCGUAGUCGAUGGGAAACGGGUUAAUAUUCCCGUACUUGGAUAAACUGCGAUGUGGGGACGGAGCAGGUUAGGUUAUCGCACUGUUGGAUAUGUGCGUUUAAGUUGGUAGGUGAGAAGUUUAGGCAAAUCCGGACUUCUUUAACACUGAGAGAUGAUGACGAGGCUCUACGGAGCUGAAGUAACCGAUACCACACUUCCAGGAAAAGCCACUAAGCUUCAGGUUUAUCUAAACCGUACUGAAAACCGACACAGGUGGUCAGGUAGAGAAUACUCAGGCGCUUGAGAGAACUCGGGUGAAGGAACUAGGCAAAAUAGCACCGUAACUUCGGGAGAAGGUGCGCCGGCGUAGAUUGUAGUCCCUAGCGGGCGAAGGUUGAACCGGUCGAAGAUACCAGCUGGCUGCAACUGUUUAUUAAAAACACAGCACUCUGCAAACACGAAAGUGGACGUAUAGGGUGUGAUGCCUGCCCGGUGCUGGAAGGUUAAUUGAUGGUGUAAUCGAAAGAGAAGCUCCUGAUCGAAGCCCCAGUAAACGGCGGCCGUAACUAUAACGGUCCUAAGGUAGCGAAAUUCCUUGUCGGGUAAGUUCCGACC
This 1958-nucleotide ribosomal RNA is filed under the name human gut metagenome. RNAcentral describes it as "bacterial LSU rRNA". It matches the Rfam family "Bacterial large subunit ribosomal RNA", at positions 1 to 1988 of the family's 2925-position model. The record is from RNAcentral.